AUUGAACGCUGGCGGCAUGCCUUACACAUGCAAGUCGAACGGCAGCGCGGACUUCGGUCUGGCGGCGAGUGGCGAACGGGUGAGUAAUACAUCGGAACGUACCCUGUUGUGGGGGAUAACUAGUCGAAAGAUUAGCUAAUACCGCAUACGACCUGAGGGUGAAAGUGGGGGACCGCAAGGCCUCACGCUGCAGGAGCGGCCGAUGUCUGAUUAGCUAGUUGGUGGGGUAAAGGCCCACCAAGGCGACGAUCAGUAGCUGGUCUGAGAAGACGAUCAGCCACACUGGGCCUGGGACACGGCCCAGACUCCUACGGGAGGCAGCAGUGGGGAAUUUUGGACAAUGGGGGCAACCCUGAUUCAGCAAUGCCGCGUGUGUGAAGAAGGCCUUCGGGUUGUAAAGCACUUUUGUCCGGAAAGAAAUCGCGCUGGUUAAUACCUGGCGUGGAUGACGGUACCGGAAGAAUAAGCACCGGCUAACUACGUGCCAGCAGCCGCCGUAA
RNAcentral lists this ribosomal RNA (500 nucleotides) under uncultured bacterium. RNAcentral describes it as "partial 16S ribosomal RNA". It matches the Rfam family "Bacterial small subunit ribosomal RNA", at positions 30 to 523 of the family's 1533-position model. The record is from RNAcentral.